AUUGAACGCUGGCGGCAUGCCUUACACAUGCAAGUCGAACGGUAACGGGUCCUUCGGGAUGCCGACGAGUGGCGAACGGGUGAGUAAUAUAUCGGAACGUGCCCAGUAGUGGGGGAUAACUGCUCGAAAGAGCAGCUAAUACCGCAUACGACCUGAGGGUGAAAGGGGGGGAUCGCAAGACCUCUCGCUAUUGGAGCGGCCGAUAUCAGAUUAGCUAGUUGGUGGCGUAAAGGCCUACCAAGGCAACGAUCUGUAGUUGGUCUGAGAGGACGACCAGCCACACUGGGACUGGGACACGGCCCAGACUCCUACGGGAGGGAGCAGUGGGGAAUUUUGGACAAUGGGCGCAAGCCUGAUCCAGCAAUGCCGCGUGCAGGAAGAAGGCCUUCGGGUUGUAAACUGCUUUUGUCAGGGAAGAAAUCUUCUGGGCUAAUACCCCGGGAGGAUGACGGUACCUGAAGAAUAAGCACCGGCUAACUACGUGCCAGCAGCCGCGGUAA
Molecule: ribosomal RNA, 500 nt
Filed under: uncultured bacterium
Lineage: Bacteria
Description: partial 16S ribosomal RNA
Rfam family: Bacterial small subunit ribosomal RNA
Source: RNAcentral